UUGGAGGGCAAGUCUGGUGCCAGCAGCCGCGGUAAUUCCAGCUCCAAUAGCGUAUAUUAAAGUUGUUGCAGUUAAAAAGCUCGUAGUUGAAUUUCGGGAUCAGAGUGUCGGUCGUGCCUCGGUACGCACUGGUAUUAUUGGUUCCUACCUUCUGAAGAACCGCGAUGUCAUUAAUUUGGUGUCGUGGGGAAUCAGGACUGUUACUUUGAAAAAAUUAGAGUGUUUAAAGCAGGCUUACGCUUGAAUACAUUAGCAUGGAAUAAUGAAAUAGGACGUUUGAUUCUAUUUUGUUGGUUUCUGGGAUUGACGUAAUGAUUAAUAGGGAUAGUUGGGGGCAUUAGUUUUCAAUUGUCAGAGGUGAAAUUCUUGGAUUUAUUGAAGACUAACAACUGCGAAAGCAUUUGCCAAGGAUGUUUUCAUUAAUCAAGAACGAAAGUUAGGGGAUCGAAGACGAUCAGAUACCGUCGUAGUCUUAACCAUGAACUAUGCCGACUAGGGAUCGGAUGAUGCUAAUUUUUUAAUGACUCAUUCGGCGCCUUACGGGAAACCAAAGUGUUUGGGUUC
Molecule: ribosomal RNA, 564 nt
Filed under: uncultured Glomeromycotina
Lineage: Eukaryota; Fungi; Glomeromycota
Description: SSU rRNA
Rfam family: Eukaryotic small subunit ribosomal RNA
Source: RNAcentral